This 433-nucleotide ribosomal RNA is filed under the name uncultured bacterium. Its description in RNAcentral is "partial 16S ribosomal RNA". It matches the Rfam family "Bacterial small subunit ribosomal RNA", at positions 29 to 507 of the family's 1533-position model. The record is from RNAcentral.
AACGAACGCUGGCGGCAUGCCUAACACAUGCAAGUCGAACGAGACCUUCGGGUCUAGUGGCGCACGGGUGCGUAACGCGUGGGAACCUGCCCUUAGGUUCGGAAUAACUCCCCGAAAGGGGUGCUAAUACCGGAUAAUGUCUUCGGACCAAAGAUUUAUCGCCUUUGGAUGGGCCCGCGUUGGAUUAGCUAGUUGGUAGGGUAAAAGCCUACCAAGGCGACGAUCCAUAGCUGGUCUGAGAGGAUGAUCAGCCACACUGGGACUGAGACACGGCCCAGACUCCUACGGGAGGCAGCAGUGGGGAAUAUUGGACAAUGGGCGAAAGCCUGAUCCAGCAAUGCCGCGUGAGUGAUGAAGGCCUUAGGGUUGAAAAGCUCCUUUACCCGGGAUGAUAAUGACAGUACCGGGAGAAUAAGCUCCGGCUAACUCCGUG